RNAcentral lists this ribosomal RNA (458 nucleotides) under uncultured bacterium. Its description in RNAcentral is "partial 16S ribosomal RNA". It matches the Rfam family "Bacterial small subunit ribosomal RNA", at positions 338 to 795 of the family's 1533-position model. The record is from RNAcentral.
CCUACGGGAGGCAGCAGUGAGGAAUAUUGGUCAAUGGGCGAGAGCCUGAACCAGCCAAGUCGCGUGAGGGAGUACUGCCCUAUGGGUUGUAAACCUCUUUUGUCGGGGAGCAAAAGCCGGACGUGUCCGGCUGUGAGAGUACCCGAAGAAAAAGCAUCGGCUAACUCCGUGCCAGCAGCCGCGGUAAUACGGAGGAUGCGAGCGUUAUCCGGAUUUAUUGGGUUUAAAGGGUGCGCAGGCGGAUUUUUAAGUCAGCGGUAAAAUCGUGGGGCUCAACCCCCUCCAGCCGUUGAAACUGGGGAUCUAGAGUGUGCGAGAGGUAUGCGGAAUGCGUGGUGCAGCGGUGAAAUGCAUAGAUAUCACGCAGAACCCCGAUUGCGAAGGCAGCAUACCGGUGCACAACUGACGCUCAGGCACGAAAGCGUGGGUAUCGAACAGGAUUAGAUACCCCAGUAGUC